This 301-nucleotide ribosomal RNA is filed under the name uncultured bacterium. RNAcentral describes it as "partial 16S ribosomal RNA". It matches the Rfam family "Bacterial small subunit ribosomal RNA", at positions 509 to 807 of the family's 1533-position model. The record is from RNAcentral.
CAGUAGCCACGGUAAUACAGAGGCCUCAAGCGUUGUUCGGAUUCAUUGGGCGUAAAGGGUGCGUAGGUGGCUUGGUAAGUUGAAGGUGAAAUCUCGGGGCUUAACCCCGAAACUGCCUUCAAUACUGCUAGGCUCGAGGACUGUAGAGGAGAAUGGAAUUCACGGUGUAGCAGUGAAAUGCGUAGAUAUCGUGAGGAAGACCAGUGGCGAAGGCGAUUCUCUGGGCAGUUCCUGACACUGAGGCACGAAGGCCAGGGGAGCAAACGGGAUUAGAUACCCCCGUAGUCCCUGUCUCUUAUAC